This 254-nucleotide unclassified non-coding RNA is filed under the name uncultured fungus. RNAcentral's name for it is "sequence contains ITS1, 5.8S rRNA gene". The stretch from base 206 to 254 matches the Rfam family "5.8S ribosomal RNA", at positions 1 to 49 of the family's 154-position model. The record is from RNAcentral. Lineage: Eukaryota; Fungi.
UUUCCGUAGGUGAACCUGCGGAAGGAUCAUUACUGAGUGAGGGCCCUCUGGGUCCAACCUCCCACCCGUGUUUAUUGUACCUUGUUGCUUCGGUGCGCCCGCCUCACGGCCGCCGGGGGGCUUCUGCCCCCGGGUCCGCGCGCACCGGAGACACUAUUGAACUCUGUCUGAAGAUUGCAGUCUGAGCAUAAACUAAAUAAGUUAAAACUUUCAACAACGGAUCUCUUGGUUCCGGCAUCGAUGAAGAACGCAGC